GAUGUGAAUUUUGGUCACGUGCCAACACCUACACUCUUCCUACCAUACCACACUGGACAGGUAAUUGUCUAGUCCCUCCUGAACCACUGGUCACCUCCCCAAGCUGUUAAGAGGAGCGAGGGGAGCAGUGAAUAGCAACAGACAUUCUAAAGGUGAGCCAGUGACUGGAAUCCAGGAAUUGGUGCUCAGGAGGUAGAGAAGCAUCCCGGAGAACUGAGCCGCCUUCACUUCUGGCUGCAGGUCUAGGCCUUUCUGCUCUCAUCAUUGGCUAGUGAACUGCUCCGCCGACCUCAUCAAAGAGUCUGUCUUCUAUCAUGUGAAGGGAUCUUCCCUAGUGUCCAAGGUCUACCAAACUUGUCCCGUCAUUUCCUGGUAUUUCCUUGUCACCUCCUGGGCUUUCUCGGUGAGGUGCAUGAGGAUGUGAUGGAGGCUGGAGAAGUGCAG
RNAcentral lists this long non-coding RNA (444 nucleotides) under Homo sapiens (human). RNAcentral's name for it is "LNC_000759". The record is from RNAcentral. Lineage: Eukaryota; Metazoa; Chordata; Mammalia; Primates; Hominidae.